AAGAAUUCAAAAGCAAAAA
RNAcentral lists this microRNA (19 nucleotides) under Corchorus olitorius. RNAcentral describes it as "mse-miR-19". Lineage: Eukaryota; Viridiplantae; Streptophyta; Magnoliopsida; Malvales; Malvaceae. The record is from RNAcentral.